Molecule: ribosomal RNA, 31 nt
Filed under: Myrtapenidiella corymbia
Lineage: Eukaryota; Fungi; Ascomycota; Dothideomycetes; Mycosphaerellales; Teratosphaeriaceae
Description: partial 28S ribosomal RNA
Source: RNAcentral
CUGGCCUCAAAUCAGGUAGGACUACCCGCUG